UUCAUUUACUUGUCUAGCCUCUUUACAAAAUAAAAUUUCUUAUCUAGCCUCAUUUUGAAAAAUAUUCCCAAUCUAGCAUCAUUUCUAUAGAUUAGAAAAAAAAAAAUGAUAAGAUAAUAAUUUUUAUAUAGAUUAAUAUGUUAAGUGGGUGGAGAUUAUCUUUUUUUCUCUCUCCUUUUAAAUUAAGUGAAUGUAAUGUGAUUUUAUAUAUAAACACUUAAUAAAAAAUUUAUUUAUUAAUAAUAAUAAGUAAUAAUAUUUCUAAAUUAUAAUUUUUUUAUUAGUACUACUAGUACUUAAUUUGAUUAUACAAGUCAAUAUAAUUUAAAAAUGUUCACAUAUAAAAUCACAUUACAUUCACUUAAUUUAAAAGGAGAGAGAAAAAAAAUAAUCUCUACUCACUUAACAUAAUAUCUAUUUAAAAAUUAUUAAUUUAUUAUUUUUUUUUAAUCUAUAAAAGUGAAGCUAGAUUGAGAAUAAUUUUUAAAAGGAGGCUAGAUAGAAAAUAAUUUUUUUUGUAAAGAAGUUAGACAAGUAAAUAGUUCUUAAAUUUGUUUCUUUCUGAUUCGAAUUCAAUAA
RNAcentral lists this long non-coding RNA (579 nucleotides) under Ananas comosus (pineapple). Its description in RNAcentral is "long non-coding RNA (ACOM_LNC010596)". Lineage: Eukaryota; Viridiplantae; Streptophyta; Magnoliopsida; Poales; Bromeliaceae. The record is from RNAcentral.